AUUCAGCUGAUGACUCCAAAAUAGGACGAAACGCGCGUCCUGGAU
This 45-nucleotide non-coding RNA is filed under the name Schistosoma margrebowiei. Lineage: Eukaryota; Metazoa; Platyhelminthes; Trematoda; Strigeidida; Schistosomatidae. The record is from RNAcentral.